Molecule: ribosomal RNA, 253 nt
Filed under: uncultured bacterium
Lineage: Bacteria
Description: partial 16S ribosomal RNA
Rfam family: Bacterial small subunit ribosomal RNA
Source: RNAcentral
UACAGAGGGGGCCAGCGUUAUUCGGAAUUAUUGGGCGUAAAGGGCGCGUAGGCGGCCAUGCGUGUCUUCCGUGAAAUCCCUCGGCUUAACUGAGGACGUGCGGAAGAAACUGCAGGGCUGGAGUCCGGGAGAGGAGGGUGGAAUUCCCAGUGUAGCGGUGAAAUGCGUAGAUAUUGGGAGGAACACCGGUGGCGAAGGCGGCCCUCUGGACCGGUACUGACGCUGAUGCGCGAAAGCGUGGGGAGCAAACGGG